RNAcentral lists this ribosomal RNA (465 nucleotides) under uncultured bacterium. RNAcentral's name for it is "partial 16S ribosomal RNA". It matches the Rfam family "Bacterial small subunit ribosomal RNA", at positions 28 to 507 of the family's 1533-position model. The record is from RNAcentral.
GACGAACGCUGGCGGCGUGCUUAACACAUGCAAGUCGAACGGAAAGGCCCUGCUUGCAGGGUACUCGAGUGGCGAACGGGUGAGUAACACGUGGGUGAUCUGCCCUGCACUUCGGGAUAAGCCUGGGAAACUGGGUCUAAUACCGGAUAGGAGCCAUUUUUAGUGUGAUGGUUGGAAAGUUUUUUCGGUGUAGGAUGAGCUCGCGGCCUAUCAGCUUGUUGGUGGGGUAAUGGCCUACCAAGGCGGCGACGGGUAGCCGGCCUGAGAGGGUGGACGGCCACAUUGGGACUGAGAUACGGCCCAGACUCCUACGGGAGGCAGCAGUGGGGAAUAUUGCACAAUGGGCGCAAGCCUGAUGCAGCGACGCCGCGUGGGGGAUGACGGCCUUCGGGUUGUAAACUCCUUUCGCUAGGAACGAAGCUUUUUGUGACGGUACCUAGAUAAGAAGCACCGGCUAACUACGUG